AUUCUACUCUAUUUGAAACCAAUACUGGGCCUUCUUUAAAAAUUUCCAGCAUCCCAACACUCGUCAUCUAACUCAAAAAUUCCCCAAAAACCCAGCCCACACAAUUCCAAUACAUUAGAAACAAUACCCAGACACGUACACGACUCCACCCCAAACAAACACUCGUUCUCUUCUUCUUCCCGGGAGUAGAAACCCAUAAAACUCAAAACUCCAGCAAAUCGAGCCCAGCGACCCGAGUCAAGAAAAUUAAUCAAGUCACAUCUCUCUCCUCUCGACGUGUCCACCUCGAUACGAAGAACGUUGGGAAAUCGUCCUUCGUCGUCCAACAUGUCCUCAUCUCCUUGCGUCCUUGUCCUUUGAUCCGAAAUCAAGCGCCCAUAUCAUUUUCAGUUGGUAAUGGUACAAAUUCCAGCUGGUUGAACCUUCAUUUGAAAUGAAUUUGAAUUUCGAAUUGGGAAUCCACCUAUUUCUGUCUGUUUUUUCCCCUAAAAUCUGAACCCUAGAAGUUUGCCUAUAAAUACUCUCUUCUUCUUCAAUGUGAGGGAUUGACAAAUCAGAAAGGGAGAAAGAGAAAAACACAAGAAAAUACUUACAUGAUAUAUAGGAAAUACACUUGAAAUAGAGAGAGAAUUUUAAGUUUCCAUCCUUCUAGGUUGAUCAUCGUUGUUUUAAAGUUAGUUCGAAUAUUGUUGCUGCCUAGGCUUCUCCUUUGUUGUCCGGUUCGAGUUUUGCUGGUGAAAUCUCGUUCCCCUCCUUGCUCGUUCCAUCAUAGUUCGCAACCUCCGAAAAGCCUCACCCAUGUUGGAGAAGGUGAAGCAGAAAUAUGGGCUUAGAAUAAAAAUUACAGGUCUCGAGAAUUGAAAACGCGCUGAUAUAUAGUGUGAUACAACCUAUAUGCAACAGCAGUAUACACUGUAUACAAACACGAAAAUGUGCCAAAAGCCCUCUGCAAAUUCCAGUUCUGUGUUGUAUUAUGAUUGGGCCAAAUACCCACUUAUUUUUAGUAUUGUUUGAUAUAUUUUAGGAUAGAUGAAAUUGGGUUGAAGAUGAAAUUAGGCUCAAGGUGAAAUUAGGCUUAAGUACUGGUUCAGGUUGACAAAAAAUCAGACUUGGGCCCAAAACACACACGCACUCUCUAUUUUAUUUGUUCUAUUCGUUCAAUUGUCUUUAUUUUCUUAUGUGCUAGUCAAUUUUAAAGUUUUCCUUA
Molecule: long non-coding RNA, 1207 nt
Organism: Solanum pennellii
Lineage: Eukaryota; Viridiplantae; Streptophyta; Magnoliopsida; Solanales; Solanaceae
Exons: 2
Source: RefSeq, a predicted model, not a curated record